AUGGGCUUUCGAGACAUCGAACUCUUCAAUCUAGCUCUUUUGGCCCGGCAAGCAUGGCGACUCCUACAAGAACGUAAUUCCCUAAGUGCACGUAUUUUAAAAUAUGUUUAUUACCCUUCUUGUUCCAUCUUGGAUGCAGAGAUUGGCAGCAACCCCUCACAAGGAUUAAUCAAGAGGAUUGGCAUAGAUGAAGCGAUGGAAAUUUGGAAUGACAACUGGAUCCCCAGGGAUUUUAAAUUGCACCCAGUUUGUGCAAAAUCUCCCCACCCACCUGUGUACGUCAGUGAACUAAUUGAUCAGGUGAGUGGCGGAUGGAAUGUUCAUGCUUUGGAUGAGCACUGUUUUGAGAUGGACAAACAAGCUAUACUGAAUAUCCCUCUCAGUUCGAAACGAUAGGAAGAUUUUUGGUCGUGGCACUACGAUCACAAGGGAGUGUUCUCUGUACGUUCGGCCUACAGGCUACUCGUAGCAACAAAAAGGCAAUGGAAGGAUUGGUUAGAAAAGGUUCCAGGGCACUCUAACCCUACCCUCGAAGGAAAAUCCUGGACCAAACUGUGGGGUACUGAUGUUCCAACUAAAGUUAAGGUUUUCGCAUGGAGACUAGCCAGAACCUCCCUCCCUACUGGUGAUGUCCGAGAAAACCGGAAGAUGGCGACCACUCCAGAGUGUAGCAUUUGUUCGGCAGCGCAUGAUUCUUGGAGGCACUCGCUUUUCGAUUGUAGAAUGGCCCGCUGUGUUUGGGCACUCAUGGACGAAUAG
This 759-nucleotide ribosomal RNA is filed under the name Triticum aestivum (bread wheat). Its description in RNAcentral is "partial small subunit ribosomal RNA". The record is from RNAcentral. Lineage: Eukaryota; Viridiplantae; Streptophyta; Magnoliopsida; Poales; Poaceae.